CAAAUCUCUUAUCUCUCACUCUCUCUCUCUCUCUCUCCCUCAGCCUCUCAAGUUUGAAUCCUCAAAAUUUACAGUUUUUAUUCUUCAAUAUUUUCAUUUUCUCCGCUCCGAAGUUUUUUAUUAGUCAAAGGCCGAUGCUGCGAAGGAGAUCGAGGCCGAUCGGGAAAGAUGCCCAAGAUUAGAAGAGAGCACAGUGCUAGCGUUAGGCCAAUCGGACUUAACCCUAACUCCCUCCAAAGAAAGGGCUCCUGUUGUGUGGUGGAAGGAAGAAGAUGAUGUGAUGGGGUUUGAUAGAGGGGCAAAAACUAUAAAGGAUUGUUGUGAACUCACCUUUGGAUGUAUGUUUCAAGGGCAGAAAUUAAUCAACAUCUUGAGAGUAACAUUACCAAGAAGAACAAAGAAUAUCAUGAUGUGUUUGAAUAGCACAGAUAGCUAAUAAAGGAGGCUUCAAAGGUUGGAAGUAUUUUGUUGUUGUGGAUGAUGUGUAGACCAAGUAAGACAGGAAUUACUUGAAAUUUGUUUUCUCCAACAAAAUGGGAAGCAAUAGAGUCCUCUUCACAACUUAGCAUGGGCAUGCAGCUAUACGCAGAUACCUUCUCGUAAACUGCACCCUUCAAAAUUUGUAAGAAAUGAGGAUAGUUGGAAGUUACUAAAGAGGAAGGGUUUUAUCAAUGAAAGUUGCUUUAUUGAGCUUGAGAGUGACGGAAAUGCAUUGCUAUAAAAUGCAGUGGACUCCCACUUGCAGAAGUAGUGAUUGUUGGUGUCUUUGUCCAAUACACUAGCAACAAUUGCUAUUGCAAGUGGUAAUCCAUUGCACUUUAUAGCUAUAUGUUUCUGCCCUCUUUUAGCUCAAAAGGACAACUUUCCUUGAGAAAAACCUUCUUCUAGUAACUUCCAACUUUCAUCAUUUCUUUAAAAUUUUAAAGAGUGUGUGACUUACAAGCAGAAUCUGCAUAUAUAGCUACAUUCUCAUGCCGAGUUAUUAAGAGAUUCUACUCCCUCUGAUGUUAUUGAGAAAAACAUUUUUCAAAUAUUUCUAGUCUUGUGGUCCACACAUCAUCCAUGACAAUGAAAUGCUUACCACCCUCUAAAAAUUCCUUUAUUUUCGUUGUUAAAUGCUCUUCAGGCAUAUCAUGGUACUUCUUUUUCUUCAUUAUUUUCGCACUCUCAAGCAGCUCGACAUCAUGCGUGGAGUUUGCAUUCUCUUCUUGAAUCAUUGUGUAAAAUUUACAACUAAAUAUGCAUUUUCCUCAUUUUAUUUAUAUAAUUAUCCUUCAUGUUAAUUUCUUCCUUGAUUGAGAUUUGAUUUUUGGGGGAAUAUGGAUUUUGAAGUGAUUUUUUGGUUGUUUAGGUGAACAAUGAUGUUUUGGAGUGAAGGGGGGGGGGGGGGGGGGGGGGUAAUAUUUCCCUUAUUGGCAGAGAGGAAGAGAUAGUGUGGAACUUGGGGCUUUGUUGGAUGAAUUUAGUCUAUGAUCAUGCUGGACAGGUUGUUCAGGUUUGUUCUUUCACUCAUUUGUAUUUUAUGAUUUCAUUCUGAUGUUUUGUAUAGUCCAGAGACAGUUACCUGAUAUUCUGACCACAUGUUAGCAUGUUUAAACAAUUGGGCAUCACUGUCAAUUGUUAUUUCAAAGAAACUGGAAGAUCUUAACAAGCUUUGUGCAACAUCACUGAUAUUGAAUGCUAUGAGCAUUAAGCUCUCUCCCCUAAUCAAGUUUAGGGUCUUAUGUUUUAGGAGUUAACAUAAUUUCAAGCACAUCCAUUUUAGGAUUCCAAGAAUGUAGAAUAUUUUAUUGUUGGUUACCUCUUUGUGCAUUGCAUAUUUGUAAAAGGUAUAUUAUAACAUGUUUAGUUCACGGAAUAGGUUGGUUCGGAUUGGAAUAACAUAUCCCUAUUUUAUGUCCUUUUCUUUCGAUUUAUAACUUUUAAUGCUAAAUAAUGUUUUGGCAUUUCAUUUUCCAUUACCGAUUCUUGUAUCUCACGCUUUGUUACCUAGCAUUAAACCCACAAUUUUGCACCUGAAUGGAGUUAAGUCAGAGAAGCUUGAAGCUGCAGCAAUCAACACAUCUUUGGAAGGAAAAAGAAAAAUGCUGAUGACCACCAUGCAAAUUAUUUCUUUAAUAUUGCUCAUACUUAGGUCUGAUGUAAAUUUUGUACUUGAAAUAUUGCCAUUAUGAAUUCGGGUUUUAAGGGGCAAAAUUGUUGUCUUUCUUU
Ipomoea nil (Japanese morning glory) is the source of this 2211-nucleotide long non-coding RNA. RefSeq lists it as uncharacterized. NCBI's taxonomy places the organism in Eukaryota, Viridiplantae, Streptophyta, Magnoliopsida, Solanales, Convolvulaceae. The transcript is spliced from 2 exons. The record is from RefSeq and is a predicted model, not a curated record.